CAAAUUCUUAGACAAAUUUAAGUGAAUCAAAACAGAUUGUAAAAUGAAUUUGAAUGAAACUUAUGGAUGGAAGAUUAGCUAGGAGGUUCUUCUCCACAUAUGUCACACUUGCAUACAAAACGAUUUUCAGUUGCUUUUCGAUAAGCUAUGAAUACUCAACGCCCCAAAUUAACCGUGAAUUGCACUAAUUAACCCUCAGUUUUUUCCACAAGUUAUUAGGUUGUAUGAUUGCAUACGACAACCCAAAACAUUCCCUAAAAGUUCCCUACAUGAAUUGCAUAAUAGAGAUACAAGCAAGAAUCAUUAAGUUCUAUGAAAAACAUAAGCAUUGACGAGGCACUCGUUACUAUGAUUUGCAUGAAACUUAUGCCAAGAGUUUACUUAACGUGAUUGUGACUAGCAACCUUCACUACUUGUGAAUAUAAGUUUAUAACGAUUAGGUGAAACUCCCUUAUAUUCUAGCGUCAAAUUCAUGCAUGAAAAUUAAGCGUGCACUCUUAACCAACAUACACAAAUUAGUUUUUAUAUGAACGGAUAAGUAAAUUGAAUUCACAACUUGAAUUCACAACUUAUGAAUCACAACUGGAUGUAAUCAAAUCAUAUUGCAAGUAUGAAUAUAGUUUCGAAUCACCCCCUAACUAAGAGGGGUUUAGUUCCUCAUACUCACAAAGCAAAGAUACAUAAAAUUAGACAUUAAAAUCAAAAAAGGAAAGAAAACACCUAAAAUGCUCCAACUUGUUAGCAAGUGCAUCCAAGAUUCCUCCUUUCCCUUGCUUGCGGCAUAUUGGGUUAUGGACAGAUUUUGGG
RNAcentral lists this long non-coding RNA (807 nucleotides) under Malus domestica (apple). Its description in RNAcentral is "long non-coding RNA (MDOM_LNC010280)". Lineage: Eukaryota; Viridiplantae; Streptophyta; Magnoliopsida; Rosales; Rosaceae. The record is from RNAcentral.